Passer domesticus (house sparrow) is the source of this 719-nucleotide long non-coding RNA. RefSeq lists it as uncharacterized. Lineage: Eukaryota; Metazoa; Chordata; Aves; Passeriformes; Passeridae. The transcript is spliced from 2 exons. The record is from RefSeq and is a predicted model, not a curated record.
GGAAUUUUGGGGAGCGCACGCAGUCACCCCCCCGCCCCAGCCAGCAUGGGGAGGAGGAUGAGGACGGGGAAACUCGCUGCGCUUGUGGCCGCGACUGGACUAGAUCUCCUGGAUCCAGGGGACUGGGAACAUCGCUUGCAUCCAGGGAUAAGCAAGGACAAAGCAUGAAGAUCUGUGUGCUGAUGGGUAACUCCCAGCUGAAGCCACAAACGUGUCCCACUGUAGGGUUAACGCUGUUGAGGAGCUCGAGGUGCAUGUCCUCCCCUCUUUUCAUCCAAAUCCCCCCUUCUCCCUGCCCAGAGCCAUCCCACCGGCUCCAAAGUGACUGCAGGAGGCAGGAGCAGCAGCAGCCCCAGUGGCAGAACCUGGCAUGGGGCCAAGGCUGAGUUACCAAGGUCUGUUUAUUUGGGGAGGGGGGAAAGGAAGCAAAUGUAUGUACAUAUACAUUCAGUCACGUAUGUUUCCUCCCAGAAAAAGGCCCCGUGAACUUAUAUUACAUGAGAAGGUCUCCAGGUUAUUAUUAUUGUUAUUAGUAUUAUUUAAAAGCUGGGGUUGUGCCCCAAAGUGCUCGUUGUGGAGCGCAAGUGGCGAUGGGUCCUCGCUGGCCUCAGAUGCAGUGAGCUGAGGAGAUGGGGACAUGUUUGGUGGCAGCCACAUGACAAUGUCCCUCAGGACACCUGAAGAACGUGGGACUCCAUCUUUUCUCCCUGAAUGCACAG